Molecule: ribosomal RNA, 22 nt
Filed under: Colletotrichum gloeosporioides
Lineage: Eukaryota; Fungi; Ascomycota; Sordariomycetes; Glomerellales; Glomerellaceae
Description: partial 18S ribosomal RNA
Source: RNAcentral
AUGUCUUAAGAACGCUACGUAC